This is a long non-coding RNA of Mastomys coucha (southern multimammate mouse), 1249 nucleotides long. RefSeq lists it as uncharacterized. The record is from RefSeq and is a predicted model, not a curated record. Lineage: Eukaryota; Metazoa; Chordata; Mammalia; Rodentia; Muridae. The transcript is spliced from 2 exons.
CUUCCUUUCCUCCCGCCGAAGCCGCUGCCGCCGCCGCUGCCGCCGCCGCCGCCGCCGCUGCCGCCGCCGCCGCCCGGGCUGCGCUGACGCCGGAGUCGUGCAGGAUGAGAUCCAGACUAUCUCUACUGCAGACUGCCAGGGCCUAGAAACUCCGUCUUCAGGGCAAAGGAACUCCAAAGGUAGGCUCAUCCUCCUCAGGCCACCCUGCUGACACAGACUUCGGAGGACCUCUCGGGAACCUUCACCGAGGAGUCAGCGAGAGCCAGGCCACACGUGGGCGCCUCCGCGUUCUGCAAGCUGGAAACAUCUUGAAAGCCUCUCUGGACCUUGGUGUAAAAGAGGUGUCCUCAAGCAUCGCAAGGCGCCGCCGCUGGAGGGUUUCCUGUUUCUGGGCUUCAAUUUGUCUUUUCCAGGGUAGCCAGAGGCAGCUUUUGAACUAGAAAUACCAGCGCCCUCAGGCAGGUCUGGGCACUAAAACGUGUGAGCACGUUCCCCCUCCAAACCACAUCCUGCUUGCUCUCUAAUAACUACCAACCCUAAAUGAUCGGGUGCAAAGGACAAUUUGUCGGGGAAGGACAAGUCGGGAGGAUGUGAAGGUGUUUCCAGGUUGUGUUCAUUUGCAUGAUCUCUAGGCCCAAAAGUAAGUCCUCGGCAACAUUUCUCUCUCACCUUAGGGUGGAACACCCGGCCUGCAUGCACCCGCUCUUCUUGAAUGGGGAGAGCUAUGUGGAUCUCUCGCGUUGCCUUUCACUAGACUAUUUUUGCUCAGAAUGCCUUUAAAAGAAAACUUUAAGGUGACAAAAGACAAGGAGAAAAAUGAUGGCAGAAACAGAGAAAAGAGGGAUGAGUUGAGCAGCUAGGAAGCAAGCUCUGCGUCCUAGGUGACUAAGAUAAAAAUCUGAGGGAGGGGGGUGUAAAGAAAGACUCGAGGACGACGUGGUGGAAGGGUGGGUUGGGGGGGUUACCAGGCUGCAGGACCAAGCCAGAAAGCCCAGCAGGGGGGACCCGGGAGCUAUUCCCAACAGGUGACUUCUGCCCUGGAAGGGGAUGCUGGCCCUCGGCUUCCCGUAGGGUCCUCGCGUCGAUUUACUAAUAGUGGGAUUGUUAAGUGGCAGCGAGGCGUUUCCGAUUCACCCUGGGCAGCCCGGGGAGGAGAAGUGCAGAGGGUUCCCCAUGACUUCUCCUCCCCAACCCACCCUCUUCUUAAGGAAACCUGACCAAGUAAUAAAUAAGACAAUCCGAAAAGCCA